UGCCGGGUCGUCUAAUGGUAGGACAACGGCCUUUGAAGCCGUAUAUUCUAGGUUCGACUCCUAGCCCGGCAG
This 72-nucleotide transfer RNA is filed under the name bacterium. Its description in RNAcentral is "tRNA-Gln". It matches the Rfam family "tRNA". From Rfam's summary of the family: Transfer RNA (tRNA) molecules are approximately 80 nucleotides in length. Their secondary structure includes four short double-helical elements and three loops (D, anti-codon, and T loops). The record is from RNAcentral. RNAcentral also lists the same sequence under 1 other name.